GACGAACGCUGGCGGCGUGCUUAACACAUGCAAGUCGAACGGAAAGGCCCCUUCGGGGGUACUCGAGUGGCGAACGGGUGAGUAACACGUGGGUAAUCUGCCCUGCACUUCGGGAUAAGCCUGGGAAACUGGGUCUAAUACCGGAUAUGACCACGAGACGCAUGUCUUGUGGUGGAAAGCUUUUGCGGUGUGGGAUGGGCCCGCGGCCUAUCAGCUUGUUGGUGGGGUGAUGGCCUACCAAGGCGACGACGGGUAGCCGGCCUGAGAGGGUGUCCGGCCACACUGGGACUGAGAUACGGCCCAGACUCCUACGGGAGGCAGCAGUGGGGAAUAUUGCACAAUGGGCGCAAGCCUGAUGCAGCGACGCCGCGUGGGGGAUGACGGCCUUCGGGUUGUAAACCUCUUUCAGCAGGGACGAAGCGCAAGUGACGGUACCUGCAGAAGAAGCACCGGCCAACUACG
Molecule: ribosomal RNA, 462 nt
Filed under: Mycobacterium florentinum
Lineage: Bacteria; Bacillati; Actinomycetota; Actinomycetes; Mycobacteriales; Mycobacteriaceae
Description: bacterial SSU rRNA
Rfam family: Bacterial small subunit ribosomal RNA
Source: RNAcentral